AACGAACGCUGGCGGCAUGCCUAACACAUGCAAGUCGAACGAGCCCUUCGGGUCUAGUGGCGCACGGGUGCGUAACGCGUGGGAACCUGCCCUUAGGUUCGGAAUAACUCUCCGACAGGGGUGCUAAUACCGGAUAAUGUCUUCGGACCAAAGAUUUAUCGCCUGUGGAUGGGCCCGCGUUGGAUUAGCUAGUUGGUAGGGUAAAAGCCUACCAAGGCGACGAUCCAUAGCUGGUCUGAGAGGAUGAUCAGCCACACUGGGACUGAGACACGGCCCAGACUCCUACGGGAGGCAGCAGUGGGAAAGAUUGGACAAGGGGCGAAAGCCUGAUCCAGCGAUGCCGCGUGAGUGAUGAAGGCCGUAGGGUUGUAAAGCUCUUUUACCCGGGAUGAUAUGACAGUACCGGGAGAAUAAGCACCGGCUAACUCCGU
Molecule: ribosomal RNA, 431 nt
Filed under: uncultured bacterium
Lineage: Bacteria
Description: partial 16S ribosomal RNA
Rfam family: Bacterial small subunit ribosomal RNA
Source: RNAcentral